RNAcentral lists this ribosomal RNA (426 nucleotides) under uncultured Enterobacteriaceae bacterium. RNAcentral's name for it is "bacterial SSU rRNA". It matches the Rfam family "Bacterial small subunit ribosomal RNA", at positions 355 to 774 of the family's 1533-position model. Lineage: Bacteria; Pseudomonadati; Pseudomonadota; Gammaproteobacteria; Enterobacterales; Enterobacteriaceae. The record is from RNAcentral.
UGGGGAAUAUUGCACAAUGGGCGCAAGCCUGAUGCAGCCAUGCCGCGUGUAUGAAGAAGGCCUUCGGGUUGUAAAGUACUUUCAGCGAGGAGGAAGGCAUUAAGGCUAAUAACCUUAGUGAUUGACGUUACUCGCAGAAGAAGCACCGGCUAGCUCCGUGCCAGCAGCCGCGGUAAUACGGAGGGUGCAAGCGUUAAUCGGAAUUACUGGGCGUAAAGCGUACGCAGGCGGUCUGUCAAGUCGGAUGUGAAAUCCCCGGGCUCAACCUGGGAACUGCAUUCGAAACUGGCAGGCUAGAGUCUUGUAGAGGGGGUAGAAUUCCAGGUGUAGCGGUGAAAUUGCGUAGAGAUCUGGAGGAAUACCGGUGGCGAAGGCGGCCCCCUGGACAAAGACUGACGCUCAGGUGCGAAAGCGUGGGAGCAAACA